Molecule: ribosomal RNA, 474 nt
Filed under: uncultured bacterium
Lineage: Bacteria
Description: bacterial SSU rRNA
Rfam family: Bacterial small subunit ribosomal RNA
Source: RNAcentral
AAUCAACGCUGGCGGCGUGCCUCAGACAUGCAAGUCGAACGAUUAAAGCUCUCUUCGGAGAGUGCAUAAAGUGGCGCACGGGUGAGUAACACGUAAGUAAUCUACCUUCGAGUGGGGAAUAACGUCCGGAAACGGACGCUAAUACCGCAUAAUGCAGCGGCAUCGCAAGAUGACAGUUGUUAAAGAUUUAUCGCUUGAAGAGGAGCUUGCGGCAGAUUAGCUAGUUGGUAAGGUAAUGGCUUACCAAGGCUACGAUCUGUAACCGGUCUAAGAGGACGGUCGGUCACACUGACACUGAAUAACGGGUCAGACUCCUACGGGAGGCAGCAGUCGGGAAUUUUGGGCAAUGGGCGAAAGCCUGACCCAGCAACGCCGCGUGAAGGAUGAAGUAUUUCGGUAUGUAAACUUCGAAAGAAUAGGAAGAAUCAAUGACGGUACUAUUUAUAAGGUCCGGCUAACUACGUGCCAGCCGCC